CCAAACUUGGUCAUUUAGAGGAAGUAAAAGUCGUAACAAGGUCUCCGUUGGUGAACCAGCGGAGGGAUCAUUACAAGACGAGUAGAAAUACUCUGAAACCCUUUGUGAACAUACCAUAUGUCUAGUUGCCUCGGCGGGCGGCCCCUGGGAGGGGCCCCGGGGCCCGGCCGCGAAAGCCGGGCGCCCGCCGGGGGGACGCACACCCAAACUCGUUGCUACACAGCAGUGGAUACCUCCGAGUCAAAACAAAAAAACAAGUUAAAACUUUCAACAACGGAUCUCUUGGUUCUGGCAUCGAUGAAGAACGCAGC
RNAcentral lists this unclassified non-coding RNA (311 nucleotides) under uncultured fungus. RNAcentral's name for it is "partial contains small subunit ribosomal RNA, internal transcribed spacer 1, and 5.8S ribosomal RNA". The stretch from base 1 to 73 matches the Rfam family "Eukaryotic small subunit ribosomal RNA", at positions 1759 to 1831 of the family's 1831-position model. Lineage: Eukaryota; Fungi. The record is from RNAcentral.